This 138-nucleotide unclassified non-coding RNA is filed under the name soil metagenome. RNAcentral describes it as "partial internal transcribed spacer 1". The record is from RNAcentral.
CCUAGAGUUGUAGGCUUUGCCUGCUAUCACUUACCCAUGUCUUUUGAGUACCUUCGUUUCCUCGGCGGGUCCGCCCGCCGAUUGGACAAUUUAAACCAUUUGCGGUUGCAAUCAGCGUCUGAAAAAACUUAAUAGUUA